GGGGUGCUCGAGUGGCGAACGGGUGAGUAACACGUGAGUAACCUGCCCUUGACUUUGGGAUAACUUCAGGAAACUGGGGCUAAUACCGGAUAGGAGCUCCUGCUGCAUGGUGGGGGUUGGAAAGUUUCGGCGGUUGGGGAUGGACUCGCGGCUUAUCAGCUUGUUGGUGGGGUAGUGGCUUACUAAGGCUUUGACGGGUAGCCGGCCUGAGAGAGUGACCGGCCACAUUGGGACUGAGAUACGGCCCAG
This 249-nucleotide ribosomal RNA is filed under the name uncultured Actinomycetales bacterium. RNAcentral describes it as "partial 16S ribosomal RNA". It matches the Rfam family "Bacterial small subunit ribosomal RNA", at positions 84 to 334 of the family's 1533-position model. The record is from RNAcentral. Lineage: Bacteria; Bacillati; Actinomycetota; Actinomycetes; Actinomycetales.